Molecule: ribosomal RNA, 464 nt
Filed under: uncultured bacterium
Lineage: Bacteria
Description: bacterial SSU rRNA
Rfam family: Bacterial small subunit ribosomal RNA
Source: RNAcentral
CCUACGGGAGGCUGCAGUAGGGAAUAUUGCGCAAUGGACGGAAGUCUGACGCAGCGACGCCGCGUGAGCGAUGAAGGCCUUCGGGUCGUAAAGCUCUGUUGUAAGGGACGAAAGAAUAAGGGAGUAACUGCCCUUAAAGUGACGGUACCUUACCAGCAAGCCCCGGCUAACUACGUGCCAGCAGCCGCGGUAAGACGUAGGGGGCGAGCGUUGUCCGGAAUUACUGGGCGUAAAGAGCACGUAGGCGGGUGUUUAAGUCAGGUGUGAAAGACCGCAGCCUAACUGCGGGGUUGCACUUGAAACUGAAUAUCUUGAGGGCAGGAGAGGUGAGUGGAAUUCCUGGUGUAGCGGUGAAAUGCGUAGAAAUCAGGAGGAACACCAGUGGCGAAGGCGACUGACUGGACUGACCCUGACGCUGAGGUGCGAAAGCGUGGGUAGCAAACAGGAUUAGAUACCCGUGUAGU